This 1216-nucleotide long non-coding RNA is filed under the name Equus caballus (horse). Its description in RNAcentral is "lncRNA (ENSECAG00000033748.3)". Lineage: Eukaryota; Metazoa; Chordata; Mammalia; Perissodactyla; Equidae. The record is from RNAcentral.
AUAGAACUCCGCUCCUUUUUAUUGAAUGGAGUAAAUUCGGUUUGCCUGUAGCAUUUAGAAUAUUCACCAAACGCUUUGAAGGUGUGUCUUUAAACCUUAAGAGUCCCUGUAAUCCUUUAAACUGUUUUUUAAUGACAUGGAAUGUGUUUGCCUCUGUUGAUCUUUCAUAUUCAUGAAUUCUUUUAAACAGUUUCUAAAAUCUUUAAAAAUGUGUUUAUUUUUUCUUUGAUCUGAAUUCUUUACAUUCUGAUUGCUCUUAGCAUGAUAGAAUAUACUUUUGCGAGGUUUCCAAGUAAAUUGCUUUAUUGAUCUGAUAUAUUAAUCUAUAUUUGUCAUAAUUUUAAAUUUAAUUUCUCUUCUGAUACUCCUGUGUUUUAUGCCUUUAGAGAAACUCAGUUAAUUUGUUUUUACCAUUUCAAAAUAAGAAAUAUGUUUUGACUCAAUAGUUUUAAUGAUUUACACAGAAAAUUAUGCAUAUUUCCAAACACUCUCUACAUACUUAUGACAAUUCAAAGCAUUAUACUUUCUUAUACAAUGGAUUUGAGAUAGCCAUGUGAUAACCCUCAGAAUUUACUGCUUCCCGGUGAACAUGCCUUGAAUAAUCCCCAUUUUUGAAUACGAUGAAUUUCACUCCUGUGAUUAGGAUAUGUUACAGAUCAAAAGGGAUUUUGCAGAUAUAAUUAAGGCUUCAAAUCAAUUGGCCUUAUAGUAGAUCAUUUGGGUGGGCCUGAGCUAAUCACAUUAGUCCUUUCAAAGAAGAGUUUUCUCCAGGCAGGAAGCCGGAGAGCUAUUCAGCGAUAGACUCCAGGAGUCCUGGAAGAAAGCAAACAGUCAUGGUGUGAAUUGCCUAUGGUGGCCACAUGGUAAAGAACUGCUGCCGGCAUCUAAGAGCUGAGAGUUGACCCAAGUCAACAGCUAGAAGGGUAAUGGGGACCUCAGUCCUAGAGUUACUAGGACAUAGUCUGCCAACAACCAGUGAACUUGGAAGAGAAUCCUGAGGCAAGCUGAGAAUUGCAACUUCAGCCAACAUCUUGAUUUCAGCCCAGGAGACUGAGCAGAGAAUACAGCCACAUGUCCAGACUUAUGACCUGCAGAAUCUCUGAGUUCUGAAGGUCAGAAGUCAGACCCAGAUCUCACUGGGCUAAAAGCUGUGCGUUGGUGGGGCUUCAUUCCCUUCUGGAAGCUCUAGAGGAGAAUGUUUUUUGGACUUUUUCCA